GAUUAUGGCUCAGGAUGAACGCUAGCUACAGGCUUAACACAUGCAAGUCGAGGGGCAGCAUGGGAGUUGCUUGCAAUCCUGAUGGCGACCGGCGCACGGGUGAGUAACGCGUAUCCAACCUUCCCCUCAGUAGGGCAUAGCCCGUAGAAAUGCGGAUUAAUACCCUAUGCAGUCCGAUGAGGACAUCUGAGCUGGACGAAAGGUUUACCGCUGAGGGAUGGGGAUGCGUCUGAUUAGGUAGUCGGCGGGGUAACGGCCCACCGAGCCUUCGAUCAGUAGGGGUUCUGAGAGGAAGGUCCCCCACACUGGUACUGAGACACGGACCAGACUCCUACGGGAGGCAGCAGUGGGGAAUAUUGGUCAAUGGGCGAGAGCCUGAACCAGCCAAGUAAGCGUGCAGGAUGACGGCCCUACGGGUUGUAAACUGCUUUUAUGCGGGGAUAAAGUGAGGGACUUGUCCCUUUUUGCAGGUACCGCAUGAAUAAGGACCGGCUAAUUCCGUGCCAGCCGCCGC
Molecule: ribosomal RNA, 514 nt
Filed under: uncultured bacterium
Lineage: Bacteria
Description: bacterial SSU rRNA
Rfam family: Bacterial small subunit ribosomal RNA
Source: RNAcentral